RNAcentral lists this transfer RNA (73 nucleotides) under Stegodyphus mimosarum. It matches the Rfam family "tRNA". Rfam says of the family: Transfer RNA (tRNA) molecules are approximately 80 nucleotides in length. Their secondary structure includes four short double-helical elements and three loops (D, anti-codon, and T loops). The record is from Rfam by way of RNAcentral. Lineage: Eukaryota; Metazoa; Arthropoda; Arachnida; Araneae; Eresidae.
GCCUUCGUGGUGUAAUGGUCAGCACACUGAGCCAGUAAUUCAGAGGUCCGCGGUUCGAUCCCCGGCGAAGGCG